RNAcentral lists this transfer RNA (70 nucleotides) under Eleginus gracilis (saffron cod). RNAcentral describes it as "tRNA-Gly". It matches the Rfam family "tRNA". From Rfam's summary of the family: Transfer RNA (tRNA) molecules are approximately 80 nucleotides in length. Their secondary structure includes four short double-helical elements and three loops (D, anti-codon, and T loops). The record is from RNAcentral. Lineage: Eukaryota; Metazoa; Chordata; Actinopteri; Gadiformes; Gadidae. RNAcentral also lists the same sequence under 1 other name.
AUCUUUCUAGUACUAACAAGUAUAAGUGGCUUCCAACCACAUGGUCUUGGUUAAAGUCCAAGGAAAGAUA